Cebus imitator (Panamanian white-faced capuchin) is the source of this 467-nucleotide long non-coding RNA. RefSeq lists it as uncharacterized. Lineage: Eukaryota; Metazoa; Chordata; Mammalia; Primates; Cebidae. The transcript has 3 exons. The record is from RefSeq and is a predicted model, not a curated record.
CCUGCCCUGAGGCAGGAACAGGCCUUACUUGUUUACUUAGCACACAGCCGAGUGCUUACUGUGAACCAGGUGCUAUGGAUCAAGUGUGAGGAGGUGACAGCCCUGGAAAAUGAAUCCAGAUGGGAUUGAGACUUUGGCCUGCUGAGCCCGAGCAAGCGUGGUUUUCCCGUUGAUGUCGCCCUGCAGACAUGACCUGGACAGAGCUACUUGGGAGGCUGGGAUCACACCAUCCAUGCUCACAUGCUCUCUGGAGCCCUCCUGAGCACAUGUUGCUUGAGUGUGGGGCUGAGAGCUGAAGGACUGGAUGCCCCCUUCUCCAGGACCUUCGGGGGCUUUUGCUGGGCAUGUGCCCACCCACCCACUGUGACCUGUUGACCUGGUGAUGUUCAUUCCCUGGAAGAGGCCAUCUCACUUGUUUCCUCUCUGGAUUCCUCCUUGGAGUGUUGGAAGGUGAGAGGAAGUGAGGA